GCUGGUGUGAUGUAGUGGUUUGAAUGCUGGACUAUGGCUCUGGAAACCAGGGUUCGAAUCCCUGCUUGACCA
Phrynosoma platyrhinos (Desert horned lizard) is the source of this 72-nucleotide non-coding RNA. The record is from the annotation of a GenBank genome assembly. NCBI's taxonomy places the organism in Eukaryota, Metazoa, Chordata, Lepidosauria, Squamata, Phrynosomatidae.